This 66-nucleotide transfer RNA is filed under the name Petrobiona massiliana. RNAcentral's name for it is "tRNA-Val". Lineage: Eukaryota; Metazoa; Porifera; Calcarea; Baerida; Petrobionidae. The record is from RNAcentral.
CUUACUAUUGAAGGUCAUAGGUUAAUUUACAAUUAAUUAUUCUUAGUUCGAAUCUAAGUAGUAAUA